Molecule: ribosomal RNA, 229 nt
Filed under: uncultured bacterium
Lineage: Bacteria
Description: partial 16S ribosomal RNA
Rfam family: Bacterial small subunit ribosomal RNA
Source: RNAcentral
UACAGAGGUCUCAAGCGUUGUUCGGAAUUACUGGGCGUAAAGGGUGCGCAGGCCGCGCGGGCAGUCAAAUGUGUAAUCCAGGGGCUCAACCCCUGAACUGCGCUUGAUACUUCCGCGCUCGAGCUUUUGGAGAGGAGUCUGGAAUUCUCGGUGUAGCAGUGAAAAUGCGUGGAUAUCGAGAAGAACACUUAGGGCGUAGGCAAGACUCUGGGACAAAUGCUGACGCUCA